This is a long non-coding RNA of Zingiber officinale, 548 nucleotides long. RefSeq lists it as uncharacterized. Lineage: Eukaryota; Viridiplantae; Streptophyta; Magnoliopsida; Zingiberales; Zingiberaceae. The transcript has 2 exons. The record is from RefSeq and is a predicted model, not a curated record.
GAGGGAGUCCAGGUUAAUAUCCAAUUAAGUUAGGAGUGAUUAACUUUAAUUACCUUAAGUCUAUACUAAACAACCUAGGUAAAAAACCUAGUGUUUGCCGACUUUCCUCACAGCCUCCCGAAAUCACCGCCGCGUCACGCACCACAGAUUACGGCCAACUUCCACGGUGAGGGUGACACGAUUGGACGAGAACAACGAUCGAUGCGGUAGCAUUUCGCGAUGGUUCCGGAGGCUGCACGAGGAAGGGAAUGACAAGGGAAAGGAAGUACUUUUCCUUAUGCAACGGUGAAAUUUGUGAGGUGAAAAAAAUUAUCAGGAUACGGAAGGCCUACGGAUGGAGUAGACGAGGAGGCAGGAUAGACGCAUGGUACUGUUCGUUGUCCGGGAGUGCAGUGCAUACUAGAUCCACCGCGGGAGAUAUUCGUUUCUUUGUUAUUCGGGUGGGGAAUGUUGAGGAGUUAUUGUUCUUAUUGAUAAACAUUCGUUGAUACAGUCAUGUCUAUUGAUUAUGAUAGUUCUCUUAUGAUACUGCAUUGUGAUCAUUCAAA